UACAGGGGGGGCAAGCGUUGUUCGGAAUUACUGGGCGUAAAGGGCCAGUAGGCGGCCAACUAAGUCACACGUGAAAUCCCCGGGCUCAACCCGGGAACUGCGUCCGAUACUGGAAGGCUUGAAUCCGGGAGAGGGAUGUGGAAUUCCAGGUGUAGCGGUGAAAUGCGUAGAUAUCUGGAGGAACACCGGUGGCGAAGGCGACAUCCUGGACCGGUAUUGACGCUGAGGCGCGAAAGCCAGGGGAGCAAACGGG
RNAcentral lists this ribosomal RNA (253 nucleotides) under uncultured bacterium. RNAcentral's name for it is "partial 16S ribosomal RNA". It matches the Rfam family "Bacterial small subunit ribosomal RNA", at positions 524 to 776 of the family's 1533-position model. The record is from RNAcentral.